This is a long non-coding RNA of Mangifera indica (mango), 843 nucleotides long. RefSeq lists it as uncharacterized. The record is from RefSeq and is a predicted model, not a curated record. The transcript is spliced from 2 exons. Lineage: Eukaryota; Viridiplantae; Streptophyta; Magnoliopsida; Sapindales; Anacardiaceae.
GGUGAUGAGAAAGCCAUUGGUACUAACAAGGGCACCGCGGAUUUUUGCUGGAGAAGCUUCAGAUAUAUACAGAGGAGAUGUCAUUGAUGCCAUUCCCACCCCAAGUCCAACAAAAACACGACCGGUGAUAAGAGCAGCUGGGUUCGGAGCUGAGGCCAUGAUCACAGCACCGCUGAAGAAAAGAAAAUCGGCUAUCAGGAUUGUACUUCUCCUUCCAUAACGAUCAUUCAUCCAGCCACCUAUUGCAGCCCCAAUGAUCGCUCCAGCUACAGCCAUACUGACUAUGCUCUCCUGAUCAGAUCAUAAUGAGAAAGAGAUGAAAAGAAGAACAGAUUUCACCUGUAGAACAGUUCGUCUAUCCACAGACUUGAAGUCAUCUCUGAUGUAAAGAAGAGCUCCGGAAAUAACCCCUGCAAAAUCCCACAGUUAAAAUCAAAAUCACAACUUCUGAAAACCCUCUCAAAGAAACUGGAAAAUGAAGCACCUGUGUCGUAGCCAAAGAGGAGGCCACCGAUUCCAGCGGAGAAAGCAAGGCGGAGAACAUAAGGGUUCUUCCAUGUCAAAGAGAAACACUCUCUGAACGCUGAAAUAUCGGCCUCUGCGUGAACUCCUCCCUCCAUUUUUUUCUAUCUGCAUUGAAAUUUCAGAGAACCAAACUGAGCGAGCAAAAUGAAGAUAAGAGUGAUAAAUAUUGUGAAAUCCUCAUGGAUAAAGUCAAGAAGUCCACCAACUUUGUCUUCGGCUGCUUCUCAUCAGAGGUAAGUCCACGUGAUUUUUAUUAUUUUUUUAUUAAUUAAAUUUAUAAUUAAGCUUUUAUGAAUUAUUGCCUGUGAUUAUUUCUCC